GCCCGGUUAGCUCAGCUGGUUAGAGCGUCGUACUAAUACCGUCGAGAGACAGUAGAUAGUCUAUGCGAAGGUCAACAGUUCAAUCCUGUUACUGGGCA
Non-coding RNA from Podospora didyma, 98 nucleotides. The record is from the annotation of a GenBank genome assembly. NCBI's taxonomy places the organism in Eukaryota, Fungi, Ascomycota, Sordariomycetes, Sordariales, Podosporaceae.